UGGGGAAUCAUGGUCAAUGGGCGAAAGCCUGAACCUGCGACGCCGCGUGAGUGAUGAAGGUCGUAAGAUCGUAAAACUCUUUUCAGGGAUCUUAAAGCCUGUCUGUCAACAACAGGCAGGUCUGACUCUCCCUGGAAGAAGCCCCAGCCAACUACGUGCCAGCAGCUGCGGUCAUACGUAGGGGGCGAGCGUUAUUCGGAAUUACUGGGUGUAAAGGGUAUGUAGGCGGCCCUUCAAGUCGCGUGUGAAAGUCCAGUGCUCAACGCUGGGUGUGCGCGCGAUACUGACGGGCUUGAGGGCUGGAGAGGGGAGCGGAAUUCCCGGUGUAGUGGUAAAAUACGUAGAGAUCGGGAGGAACACCAGCGGCGCAGGCGGCUCACUAGACAGUUUCUGACGCUAAGAUACGAAAGCGUGGGGAGCAAACA
This 425-nucleotide ribosomal RNA is filed under the name uncultured prokaryote. RNAcentral describes it as "bacterial SSU rRNA". It matches the Rfam family "Bacterial small subunit ribosomal RNA", at positions 355 to 774 of the family's 1533-position model. The record is from RNAcentral.